CACUAAGCCACAUUCCCAGUCCACAUUUAUUAUUUUUAUGUGGCAAAAACAUUCAAAUAUAUUAUGAUUAUCUACAAUUACUGUACUAUGUAAUAGAACACUAACACUGUCUUUUUAAGUAGGGAUUCCUAAGCAUUUUCUUAGUAAAAUUUUAGUAGCCUUCCUUUCCAUAUUAGAAAUUUAAAUAUAUGAGAUUCCUACUGCUUCUGCUACUGUGGUUUCUGAAGAGGUAUAAACAUAAAAUAAUUAUCUGGAAUGACUUUCUAGCGUUGUAGUUGACUUAGGUACCUUGAUGGAUUCCUUUUUUAGAAAGCAUACAUUCUACAUUCUUCUAGGUAUUCAAACACACAGGUAGCUAUCUGUGCUUUGCUACCUAAUUUUUAGAGGCACUGCAAAAUCUGCUCUACCAGAUGAGGUUAUAUUUACAAUCUUGUUUGUUAGCCUUUUAAAACUUGGUGAGCAAAGGAUUGCCACAGAAUAUUUUUAUUCAUUUAUGAGAGUUAAAUUAAUGAAGAUGUUCUGAGUGGGAUGUCUGUAUGUGUAUGUGUGUUUCCACCAAAAUAAAGUAGGUAACUGAAGAGGAUUAGGUGCCAUGUGAUAUAAUAGAGUCAAGAAUCUGAGUUCUGUUCUCUCUUGCAUUAACUUGCUACUUGAUCUUGUCAAGCUACUUAGCUCUUUUGAUGGCAAAAUAUUUAUAUGUUGAACAUAUUGAAUAUAUGUUAAAUAAAAUUAAGGCACUUUAAAUUUUAAGUCAUGUUGGUUGUUUGUUUUUGGUUAUGGGGUUUGAACUUGGCCCUGGCUUGCUUCCUCAACUGAUGCCAUUAAUAUUUGAGCCACCCCUCCAAGCCCUGUUUUUUGUUAUUUUGGAGAUGGCAUCUAGCAGACUUUGAUGUUCAGGCUGGCUUUGGAUUGUUAUCCUUCAUAUCUCAACCUCCUGAGCCAGGAUUAUGCACAUGAAUGACCAGCACCAGGCUUUAAUUUUUAUAUACCAUUCUACAAGUAACUUAUUUGUGGAUGGCUUGUAUAAAAUCAUAAACCUGGUAUCAUAUUAUUCUCACAAGGGUCAAGAGCUUGAAGUGAAGAUAACAGCCUUCAGUCCCUUUACAGGGCAGUUUUGAAAGUACUUUUUGGCAUCAUGAACCAUUUGUCCUGUAUUAAUUCAAUAGUUUAUCACUUUAGUAUGUCUGUCUCUUUCGUUUUUUGUUUGUUUUUUU
This is a long non-coding RNA of Perognathus longimembris pacificus (Pacific pocket mouse), 1214 nucleotides long. RefSeq lists it as uncharacterized. The record is from RefSeq and is a predicted model, not a curated record. NCBI's taxonomy places the organism in Eukaryota, Metazoa, Chordata, Mammalia, Rodentia, Heteromyidae. The transcript has 2 exons.